GCAACUCAAAGAUUGCGGGGAGAGAAAAGAGCAAGAGAUGUCUAUAGCUACCUCCACCCCUUUCAUCAAGAUCAAGCUCUCCCCCUCCCCUCAUCCUCCUCCCAUGCACUCUUUGAGGCAAUUCACCGUUGUUAGGAGCUCUAAAGCUGACGGUCCUCUGAGGAGACCCGGAGCGCCGUCUCUCUCCCCUCCCCCGGCCAUCAAACCUGUUGCGCCAUCUCAGCCACCCGUGAAACCUGUG
RNAcentral lists this unclassified non-coding RNA (241 nucleotides) under Hevea brasiliensis (rubber tree). The record is from RNAcentral. Lineage: Eukaryota; Viridiplantae; Streptophyta; Magnoliopsida; Malpighiales; Euphorbiaceae.